GACGAACGCUGGCGGCGUGCUUAACACAUGCAAGUCGAGCGAUGAAGCUCCUUCGGGAGUGGAUUAGCGGCGGACGGGUGAGUAACACGUGGGUAACCUGCCUCAUAGAGGGGAAUAGCCUUUCGAACGGAAGAUUAAUACCGCAUAAGUUUGUAGUACCGCAUGGUACAGCAAUUAAAGGAGUAAUCCGCUAUGAGCUGGACCCGCGUCGCAUUAGCUAGUUGGUGAGGUAACGGCUCACGAAGGCGAGGAUGCGUAGCCGACCUGAGAGGGUGAUCAGCCACAUGGGGACUAGGACACGGCCCGGACUCCUACGGGAGGGAGCAGUGCGGAAUAUUGCACAAUGGGGGGAACCCUGAUGGAGCAACGCCGCGUGAGUGAUGACGGUCUUCGGAUUGUAAAGCUCUGUCUUCAGGGACGAUAAUGACGGUACCUGAGGAGGAAGCCACGGCUAACUACGUGCCAGCCGCCGCCGUAA
RNAcentral lists this ribosomal RNA (478 nucleotides) under uncultured bacterium. Its description in RNAcentral is "partial 16S ribosomal RNA". It matches the Rfam family "Bacterial small subunit ribosomal RNA", at positions 28 to 523 of the family's 1533-position model. The record is from RNAcentral.